RNAcentral lists this transfer RNA (83 nucleotides) under Chloroflexota bacterium. RNAcentral's name for it is "Chloroflexi bacterium (groundwater metagenome) tRNA-Leu". It matches the Rfam family "tRNA". From Rfam's summary of the family: Transfer RNA (tRNA) molecules are approximately 80 nucleotides in length. Their secondary structure includes four short double-helical elements and three loops (D, anti-codon, and T loops). Lineage: Bacteria; Bacillati; Chloroflexota. The record is from RNAcentral.
GCCGAGGUGGCGGAACUGGUAGACGCGGAGGACUUAAAAUCCUCGGGACUCCGUCCGUGCGGGUUCGAGUCCCGCCCUCGGCA